This 814-nucleotide ribosomal RNA is filed under the name Salmonella enterica subsp. enterica serovar Typhimurium. Its description in RNAcentral is "partial 23S ribosomal RNA". It matches the Rfam family "Bacterial large subunit ribosomal RNA", at positions 850 to 1578 of the family's 2925-position model. Lineage: Bacteria; Pseudomonadati; Pseudomonadota; Gammaproteobacteria; Enterobacterales; Enterobacteriaceae. The record is from RNAcentral.
UGGUUCUCCCCGAAAGCUAUUUAGGUAGCGCCUCGUGAAUUCAUCUCCGGGGGUAGAGCACUGUUUCGGCUAGGGGGCCAUCCCGGCUUACCAACCCGAUGCAAACUGCGAAUACCGGAGAAUGUUAUCACGGGAGACACACGGCGGGUGCUAACGUCCGUCGUGAAGAGGGAAACAACCCAGACCGCCAGCUAAGGUCCCAAAGUCAUGGUUAAGUGGGAAACGAUGUGGGAAGGCCCAGACAGCCAGGAUGUUGGCUUAGAAGCAGCCAUCAUUUAAAGAAAGCGUAAUAGCUCACUGGUCGAGUCGGCCUGCGCGGAAGAUGUAACGGGGCUAAACCAUGCACCGAAGCUGCGGCAGCGAACGUAUCACCCAAGACAACUUUACGGAGUUGACGAUUGACGGAGCGAAGCGACGUCAAAGCGUUCAUUAAAGUCGAGUUGGCUUAGGGAUACGUUCGUUGGGUAGGGGAGCGUUCUGUAAGCCUGUGAAGGUGUGUCGUGAGGCAUGCUGGAGGUAUCAGAAGUGCGAAUGCUGACAUAAGUAACGAUAAAGCGGGUGAAAAGCCCGCUCGCCGGAAGACCAAGGGUUCCUGUCCAACGUUAAUCGGGGCAGGGUGAGUCGACCCCUAAGGCGAGGCCGAAAGGCGUAGUCGAUGGGAAACGGGUUAAUAUUCCCGUACUUGGUGUUACUGCGAAGGGGGGACGGAGAAGGCUAUGUUGGCCGGGCGACGGUUGUCCCGGUUUAAGCGUGUAGGUGUGUGUUCCAGGUAAAUCCGGUUCACUUUAACACUGAGGCGUGACGACGAGGCACU